Molecule: ribosomal RNA, 444 nt
Filed under: uncultured organism
Description: partial 16S ribosomal RNA
Rfam family: Bacterial small subunit ribosomal RNA
Source: RNAcentral
CCUGCGGGAGGCAUCAGUGGGGAAUAUUGGACAAUGGGCGCAAGCCUGAUCCAGCCAUGCCGCGUGAGUGAUGAAGGCCCUAGGGUUGUAAAGCUCUUUCACCGGUGAAGAUAAUGACGGUAACCGGAGAAGAAGCCCCGGCUAACUUCGUGCCAGCAGCCGCGGUAAUACGAAGGGGGCUAGCGUUGUUCGGAUUUACUGGGCGUAAAGCGCACGUAGGCGGACUAUUAAGUCAGGGGUGAAAUCCCGGGGCUCAACCCCGGAACUGCCUUUGAUACUGGUAGUCUGGAGUUCGAGAGAGGUGAGUGGAAUUCCGGGUGUAGAGGUGAAAUUCGUAGAUAUUCGGAGGAACACCAGUGGCGAAGGCGGCUCACUGGCUCGAUACUGACGCUGAGGUGCGAAAGCGUGGGGAGCAAACAGGAUUAGAAACCCCUGUAGGCCCAU